AAAACGGUCCUUUUCAGGACCCCAAAUGAUUAUUUAAAAGAUAUUU
Anopheles minimus is the source of this 46-nucleotide non-coding RNA. Lineage: Eukaryota; Metazoa; Arthropoda; Insecta; Diptera; Culicidae. The record is from Rfam.